This 433-nucleotide ribosomal RNA is filed under the name uncultured bacterium. RNAcentral's name for it is "partial 16S ribosomal RNA". It matches the Rfam family "Bacterial small subunit ribosomal RNA", at positions 29 to 507 of the family's 1533-position model. The record is from RNAcentral.
AGCGAACGCUGGCGGCAGGCUUAACACAUGCAAGUCGAGCGGGCACUUCGGUGUCAGCGGCAGACGGGUGAGUAACACGUGGGAACGUACCCUUUGGUUCGGAAUAACGCUGGGAAACUAGCGCUAAUACCGGAUACGCCCUUUUGGGGAAAGGCUUGCUGCCGAAGGAUCGGCCCGCGUCUGAUUAGCUAGUUGGUGGGGUAAUGGCCUACCAAGGCGACGAUCAGUAGCUGGUCUGAGAGGAUGAUCAGCCACACUGGGACUGAGACACAGCCCAGACUCCUACGGGAGGCAGCAGUGGGGAAUAUUGGACAAUGGGCGCAAGCCUGAUCCAGCCAUGCCGCGUGAGUGAUGAAGGCCUUAGGGUUGUAAAGCUCUUUUGUCCGGGACGAUAAUGACGGUACCGGAAGAAUAAGCCCCGGCUAACUUCGUG